GACGUAGGGGGCCAGCGUUGUUCGGAAUUACUGGGUGUAAAGGGUUCGUAGGCGGUGUAGCAAGUCGGGAGUGAAAUCUCUGGGCUUAACCCAGAGGCUGCUUCCGAAACUGCUGUGCUUGAGUGUGGGAGAGGCGCGUGGAAUUGCAGGUGUAGCGGUGAAAUGCGUAGAUAUCUGGAGGAACACCGGUGGCGAAGGCGGCAUCCUGGACCGGUAUUGACGCUGAGGCGCGAAAGCUAGGGGAGCAAACGGG
This 253-nucleotide ribosomal RNA is filed under the name uncultured bacterium. RNAcentral's name for it is "partial 16S ribosomal RNA". It matches the Rfam family "Bacterial small subunit ribosomal RNA", at positions 524 to 776 of the family's 1533-position model. The record is from RNAcentral.